GAGGAAGUAAGGCCCAGGAGACAUGAUUCUGCUUGAACAAACAUGGAAGAAAUUUCUUUUUGACACUGACCCUUUUACAUAUUGUCCUUGCAGCAGACAUCCCCCCAUCCCCAGGAAAUAUCCCUACCACCCAUCCACUGAUGGUGCGCCAUGCAGACCACAGUUCUCUGACACUGGGCAGUGGCUCUUCAACAACUCGUCUCACCCAGGGCAUCGGGCGCAGUCAGAGGACCCUAAGGCAGCUGACGGCCAAUACUGGCCACACCAUUCAUGUUCACUACCCUGGGAAUCGCCA
Molecule: long non-coding RNA, 295 nt
Filed under: Homo sapiens (human)
Lineage: Eukaryota; Metazoa; Chordata; Mammalia; Primates; Hominidae
Description: non-protein coding lnc-HSD17B10-6:1
Source: RNAcentral